Molecule: ribosomal RNA, 499 nt
Filed under: uncultured bacterium
Lineage: Bacteria
Description: bacterial SSU rRNA
Rfam family: Bacterial small subunit ribosomal RNA
Source: RNAcentral
AACGAACGCUGGCGGCGCGCCUAAUACAUGCAAGUCGAACGAGAAUGUGUAGCAAUACACAUGUAAAGUGGCGAACGGGUGAGGACUACAUGGGUAACCUACCCUCGAGUGGGGGAUAACCAGCCGAAAGGUUGGCUAAUACCGCGUACGCUUCCGGGACUGCGGUUUCGGAAGGAAAGCGAUACCGUGGGUAUCGCGCUCUUGGAUGGGCUCAUGUCCUAUCAGCUUGUUGGUGAGGUAACGGCUCACCAAGGCAUCGACGGGUAGCUGAUCUGAGAGGAUGAUCAGCCACACUGGCACUGCGACACGGGCCAGACUCCUACGGGAGGCAGCAGUAAGGAAUAUUGCGCAAUGGGCGAAAGCCUGACGCAGCGACGCCGCGUGGGGGAUGAAGGUCUUCGGAUUGUAAACCCCUUUCGGGAGGGAAGAUGGGAUGGGGUAACCCAUUCGGACGGUACCUCCAGAAGCAGCCACGGCUAACUUCGUGCCAGCAGCCGAC